AAGUGGAGUUUAGUAACAAUCAGGAUGUGAAAUGGCGUAGCUGUUGUCUGUCCGAAAGGGACAGCGGGCCGGGAUACAGAGGAACAACCUGGUCAUGAACCGCGCAGAAAUGGACUUUAAUUCAUGUCUUUCAUCAUCACUCUGAUAAACUAGUGAAGACCUUCGACCUCAUCCUGCCGACUACUAAGACGAUCAUUUGAUCAUGCAUGAGUAUAAGACUCCAGAGAAAGCUGCACCAGACGAGAAGUGGUUCAGCAGCACGAUGAAGCCUGUCCUGCACCCAAGUCCUUUAGAUCUGCUCAGCACUGCACCUGGGUAGCAUUUGAUGCUUCAUCCAUCCGUUCAUUUAUCCAGGAUGACCUCAGAGGCGUAGUCCAGGCCGCUUUUAUUCCCUCUUUCUUCAUCCGAGUUUUGAGCUAGUUUUCCCCUUUAAUAUGAUGAAUUGUUUACUUCAUUCCUAUUUUUAACUCAAACUGUAUUCACUCAGCUCAGUAGACAGUAAAGUUUCACACAGCUUUUUAAUCCUGUCUAAUUAACGAGCUUUAAACGACCCGGUCUCAUCGAAACAUACUCUAGGUGUGAUUAGUAAACGGAUGGCGAGAAGAAGAGUGAGAUUCGCGAUCCGAGUUGUGGAAAAUGACAUAAAAUACACAAACGGUUCAUCAAUGUAACGUCAUCUAAUGUAAUCGUUUAACAAAAGGUUAUAACUGCAGAAGAAAUGUAAAUUUUAUCAAACUUUUAUUUGGAGAACUGAACACCAAGUCAGCUUAUUAACAGAUUAUUAACCUGCAUGGACAUUUAUUUAUGUCAUACGAUGGAAAAGUUAAAUCCCACACACAUUUAUUUACGUUUAUUACAUUUACUUUUUUCCCCGAGGAAGUUGUGAAGUGUGUGUGUGUGUGUGUGUGUGUGUGUGUGUGUGUGUGUAUGCGUGUGUGUGUGUGCGCCUUGCCGUGUUUGACCUGUAGUGACGAUGGGUUGAAUUAAAUAAAAAUUUCCUAAAAGCAUUGUAACACGAUUGUUACAAAGGAAGCGCAAACAUCACAUUGAACUCUCUUUCUCUCUCUCUCUCUCUCUCUCUCUCUCUCUCUCUCUCUCUCUCUCUUUCUUUCCAUCAGUCAUGACCUUUUAACAUUACAGUGCUUUUAGGAAAUCAAAUCCGUGCGGUUUGAGCGUAAAUGGCGUCUACGGACGGGAUAUGUGCAAUACGUCUGUUUUUAUUUGGGGUUUUUUGGGUCCUGUUUCGAGAUAAAUGUGUAAAUUGUACAAACAAGUGACGAGUUGUUCGUGCGACAAACAACAAAAUCACCAAUGUCUUCCAUUAAGUGAUGUAUAGUUUCAUCCGCUUGUUUGGUAGCGGGAUCUGUCGUGCCAACGUUAUAUGUGGCCAUGCAUGAGCGGACUCGAUGCUUGCAGAGUAGUUGUAGUGAAAUCCAGUUUAUAAACCUUAACGCAUAUUAGCUAAUAGUUGAGCAGAUGGUGAUUAGUCUCAUUACCACCGUGUAGCUUUGAGAAUAGUGAGCUUUGGAGAAUUUCAUUUAAAUUUAUUAUUUUUUUGUUUUUGUGUGUGUUUGUUGUCUUUUGAUCUUUAGUCGUCUAAUCUUAUCAUUUUCUUCAGAUCACUUUCCUGAAACAAAAAAAAAAGGCUUUGGGUCUUUGUUUAAAAGCCUCGAGCCAACAAAUCACAACUCUUUUAUUUUUGAUUAUAUAAUCUUAUGUUCUUAGUGUUAAUUUUUGCUAGUUAGCAUUGAACAACCUGACUAGCGACUAGCUAAGUAGGGUGAAACUGUACUCGUCGGCGCUGUAAGUUAGGACAAAAUAAAUAACGAACAACAAAAUAACAAGAAUAAAAUUUAAAAAAAAAACGCUUUAGUCUGGAGUGGCUUUUAGGUAGCGUCGUCACUCUGACACGGUUUCGGAUGCACCGGAGGGUUAGUUUAGCUAGCUUUAACGUAGCAGACGUUCUAGAUUUUAGUUAACGAGUAGUUAGCGUCUCUAGUCGAUCAGAAUAAGGUGAUGUAGAUAGUUAAAUACCUCAAUCACUGGAAUGCAAAGUCUAUUUUUUAGAUUCCAUUGACAAAUAUGCAAGCCAUACUGCGCAUUAUGUUAGAUGUUACAUAUGAGGUUCGAUCCGUGCCAAAAAAAAUGUUGGCAUCACAUCGUGUAGUCAGUGUGUUUACUCUGUUGUUGUUUCUCCUUCUUGAUUCCGAACAGAAGGUUUCAGGAGAAGGAGCGUCGACUGUGUUAUGCCUUUAUCACGGCUUAUUAUACGAUCUGAAAGUCAUUUUAAUUGGAGAAUUAAAACCAAUCUUCAAACUUCACCCUUCGCUACAUGACCUCUGUGUCUCCAUGUGCCCCGAGCCUUCUUGAAUCGGUAGGCCAGGGCCGUUCGUGUUUUUGGCACGGAUAGACCCUCAUCAUUUAGAAGCAAUAAUUCUAUUAUGCAUGAAAACUCUAGUGCCAGAACGGUGUUUUGUGGAAUGGCCUGUAGCAUAUUUCUUGCCGUGGUGUGUGUUCGUUAUUAAUGUUUAUUACUAAAGCGUACUGGAUUUCCGGUGGGCCAAAACGAGCUCCUCGUGUGUUAAAAAACAACAACAAAACAGUGUACUUUAUGCACACUGCAUGAUUUCUAUCGCUACAUGAGCAGAUGACAUCGAGCACAGAUGUGGAUUAUGCAGUCAAAAAGGAAUCGGAUCGAGACGACGCUUUCUUUCACACGCUACAGUACACACUAAACACACACUGAACAUCAGUCGGCCUGCGAGCCUGUAGGUGUUUGUCUGUGGGAACGUGAGGGGUAAAUUAGCUACUGCAUGGUAGAAGUGGGUACCACGUGUCGUGCUGCAUGCAAUAAUUAAGCUUUGUUUGGAAAAAAAAUAUAUAUAUAUAAUGCAAAACGUUAAGAAUGUGAAGUCAAGCUAGUGGACUGAUGUCUGAUUUUCCCUUAAGUUAAAAAAACAUUCCAUACAAAUACAUAAUCGUCUCACUCGCUUUAUUAUAAUCCUUUCUGUAUGUAACUUUUAUUUUUAUUUUACAAAUAGUCAGGAGAGGAAAGUUGCUGUAUUAUCUGUACAACCCUUGACAUGAUGAGUGAUAUUUGAGUAGCCUGUGAUUAUUAAUCAAACAACACAGGCUUGAUUGGAAUGGUCUUCUUGUUCGAAGUUAAAGCAAAUUCAGGUUUAGUGGACCGUAUACACACACACACACACACACUCAAUUUGCACCUUAGUGUUAGUUUAACAUGGUUCAAAUAUUAUUUCCAACUGAAAUCCAUGUCCAGGGUAAAUAUUAUUUUCUACUCCACAAUAUUAUUUUUUUUGUUUAUCAUCACAGGAUGGAUUGUACGGUAUAUGUGGUUAAAUCUAUGCACUACAGAUGCGCUAAGCAUGCGAAGAUAAACCUCUUGAUUUUGUACAAUUAAAAAAAAAAAUAAAUCUGUAUAAGAAUUUAGCAAUAAAAACAGCAUGGUGCCAAUCUUA
Tachysurus vachellii is the source of this 3479-nucleotide long non-coding RNA. RefSeq lists it as uncharacterized. The record is from RefSeq and is a predicted model, not a curated record. The transcript is spliced from 3 exons. NCBI's taxonomy places the organism in Eukaryota, Metazoa, Chordata, Actinopteri, Siluriformes, Bagridae.